GAUUAACGCUAGCGGCAGGCAUAAUACAUGCAAGUUGAACGGCAGCACAGGUAGCACUACUGGGUGGCGAGUGGCGCACGGGUGCGUAACACGUAUGCAACCUACCCUAUACAGGCGAAUAACCUUUAGAAAUGAGGGCUAAUACGCCGUAGUAUUACAGAUGGGCAUCUAUUUGUAAUUAAAGAUUUAUCGGUAUAGGAUGGGCAUGCGUCCCAUUAGUUAGUUGGUAAGGUAACGGCUUACCAAGACGAUGAUGGGUAGGGGAUCUGUGAGGACUUACCCCCACACUGGUACUGAGACACGGACCAGACUCCUACGGGAGGCAGCAGUAAGGAAUAUUGGGCAAUGGCCGCGAGGCUGACCCAGCCAUGCCGCGUGCAGGAAGACGGCCUUAGGGGUUGUAAACUGCUUUUAUACGGGAAUAAUAGAGUGUACGCGUACAUUUAUGCAAGUAUCGUAUGAAUAAGCAUCGGCUAACUCCGUG
Molecule: ribosomal RNA, 484 nt
Filed under: uncultured bacterium
Lineage: Bacteria
Description: partial 16S ribosomal RNA
Rfam family: Bacterial small subunit ribosomal RNA
Source: RNAcentral